This is a long non-coding RNA of Sardina pilchardus (European sardine), 1340 nucleotides long. RefSeq lists it as uncharacterized. The record is from RefSeq and is a predicted model, not a curated record. The transcript is spliced from 6 exons. Lineage: Eukaryota; Metazoa; Chordata; Actinopteri; Clupeiformes; Clupeidae.
GUGGGCUCUUUAUAAGGUGACUGCCACCGUGGGCCAGGUAUGCAGCAGGGGUUGAGCUAGUCGUUUGGCUUUUCCGGUGGUGGUGACUCUUCCGGUCAUUAGGCUGUUCCGGUCGGUGGUUCUCUCCUGGGUGGCAGCCGGUUUUGAGAUUUCGCUCCGGUACAGAGGAUUAUCGAUCGCUCUGCGUUGUGUUGUGUUGUGCUGUGCUGUGCUGUGCUUUGCACUGGGUGCGUUCUAAGGGCUUUGCGCCCCUGAGUGUUUUUGAUCAUCGUGACCGCAGUCACAUAGGUCUCGUGGGCAGACUCGUUCCCCCCCCCUCCCCACGCAUUGUUUGGUCGUCGUCCAGUGUGUGUGCUAACCCUUUCCGCUGUGGUUGUAGGGUGCUGAUCGCCAGGGUCAUCCUUUGCUUGCUGCUGUUUUGCCUCUGUUUGUUCUUCCUUAUUGAUUGCCGUGUCUUGUCAUUGUGUCUUGGUGUAAGAGUGUUGUCUUUUGUUUUUAUGUGCUUUUGUCCUUUUGUGACUUUUCUUUCUGUACUUUUGGGAAGCUCGAUGUAGCGCCCAUGCAGGCAUAGUUAGGCCUGCCAGCUGUGUACUUUUACAGCUAGCCUAGCUUUUGGGCUUCUCAAAGAAGUAUUUGUCUUUGAUCCUGUCGUUUGGAUGGCCAUCCACUCCCUUAUUGUAUGAAUGUCUUGGUGUUUUUGAUUUAUUAGUUAUUUGUAUUUCAUUGUAGUACAGGAAAUUAGGUCGGCCCUACAAAGGUCAGCUUGUGUCAUCUGAGCCUUUGGUGUUAUUCCUGUUCUCUGUAUUUGUCUUUGUCUUUGUCAUUGUCUUUUGUGGUUUGUUUCUUGUUGUAGGAGUAGGGGGCGCUGCAGGGAAGGCUGGUCACCUGGUAUCGGGAGUUUAGCUUGUAGUGCCUGUGUGGGUUCACUGUGUGUGUUUUCCAGUACUGUUCACCUGUGUGGGUUGCGGUGGUUGCGUCUCCUAUAUCCACGUGUGGUCUUGACCUCCCUGUCCUCAGGAUAGCCUGCCUCCCUGUGAGGCAAAGCAGCAGCCAGCGGACGGUGGUAGCAGCAAACAUCCUUAUAACAACGCUUCUGGAGUAGGGGGCGCUGCAGGGAAGGCUGGUCACCUGGUAUCGGGAGUUUAGCUUGUAGUGCCUGUGUGGGUUCACUGUGUGUGUUUUCCAGUACUGUUCACCUGUGUGGGUUGCGGUGGUUGCGUCUCCUAUAUCCACGUGUGGUCUUGACCUCCCUGUCCUCAGGAUAGCCUGCCUCCCUGUGGUAAGCCCUACUCCUUCUUGUCUAAUUAAUUGUCUUGUUACAUCCCCAUCCUGUUGGGUGC